CGGCGAUUUCCGAAUGGGGAAACCCAGUGUGUUUCGACACACUAUCAUUAACUGAAUCCAUAGGUUAAUGAGGCGAACCGGGGGAACUGAAACAUCUAAGUACCCCGAGGAAAAGAAAUCAACCGAGAUUCCCCCAGUAGCGGCGAGCGAACGGGGAGGAGCCCAGAGCCUGAAUCAGUGUGUGUGUUAGUGGAAGCGUCUGGAAAGGCGCGCGAUACAGGGUGACAGCCCCGUACACAAAAAUGCACAUGCUGUGAGCUCGAUGAGUAGGGCGGGACACGUGGUAUCCUGUCUGAAUAUGGGGGGACCAUCCUCCAAGGCUAAAUACUCCUGACUGACCGAUAGUGAACCAGUACCGUGAGGGAAAGGCGAAAAGAACCCCGGCGAGGGGAGUGAAAAAGAACCUGAAACCGUGUACGUACAAGCAGUGGGAGCACGCUUAGGCGUGUGACUGCGUACCUUUUGUAUAAUGGGUCAGCGACUUAUAUUCUGUAGCAAGGUUAACCGAAUAGGGGAGCCGAAGGGAAACCGAGUCUUAACUGGGCGUUAAGUUGCAGGGUAUAGACCCGAAACCCGGUGAUCUAGCCAUGGGCAGGUUGAAGGUUGGGUAACACUAACUGGAGGACCGAACCGACUAAUGUUGAAAAAUUAGCGGAUGACUUGUGGCUGGGGGUGAAAGGCCAAUCAAACCGGGAGAUAGCUGGUUCUCCCCGAAAGCU
This 719-nucleotide ribosomal RNA is filed under the name Escherichia coli. RNAcentral describes it as "partial 23S ribosomal RNA". It matches the Rfam family "Bacterial large subunit ribosomal RNA", at positions 105 to 867 of the family's 2925-position model. The record is from RNAcentral. Lineage: Bacteria; Pseudomonadati; Pseudomonadota; Gammaproteobacteria; Enterobacterales; Enterobacteriaceae.